UUUCAAACUGCCCAGACGGUUGGACAGGACGUAGACACACAGAAGAAAAGAAGGCAAAGAACGGGUAGGAAAAUUAAAAAGGUGACCAUGGGGAAGAAAGUGGCCAUCAUUGGAGCUGGUGUGAGUGGCUUGGCCUCCAUCAGGAGCUGUCUGGAAGAGGGGCUGGAGCCCACCUGCUUUGAGAAGAGCAAUGACAUUGGGGGCCUGUGGAAAUUUUCAACAGAGUUUCUCUCUUGUUGCCCAGGCUGGAGUGCAAUGGCACAAUCUCAGCUCACUACAACCUCCACCUCCUGGGAUCAAGGGAUUCUCCUGCCUCAGCCUCCCGAGUAGUUGGGAUUACAGGUGUGUGCCAUCACGCCCCGCUAAUUUUUGUGUUUUUAGUAGAGAUGGGGUUUCGCCAUGUUGGCCAGGCUGGUCUCGAACUCCUGACCUCAGGUGAUACACCCGCCUCGGCCUCCCAAAGUGCUGGAAUUAUAGGCAUGAGCCACCACUCCUGGCCAGCCAUAUCUUAUACACAGUGAUCUUAACCAAAGCCUCAUACUCAAAUUUAGUUUGCAAGACGUUGCUGAAGAUAGAACGCACUGCUGAUAUGGCUAUUGAGAGGAACACAGCGAAAGACAGCUAAUUUGUCUUUUCUUGCUGCUCGAGGAAGGCUUUAAAAUUUGAACCUGGCAGCAUAGGUUGAUAAAACUGAACUGCAACAUGUGCUACCCUUCAAGAAAAAGAAAGGAUAGCCCAGAGGGUAGAGCCUCAGGCCCUGAGGGCAGAGGCCCGAGCCAAAGCCUUCAAGCCUAAAGGAAUUUGUCCUACUGGAUUUCAAAAUUGCUU
RNAcentral lists this small RNA (828 nucleotides) under Pan troglodytes (chimpanzee). Its description in RNAcentral is "processed transcript". The record is from RNAcentral. Lineage: Eukaryota; Metazoa; Chordata; Mammalia; Primates; Hominidae.